Molecule: long non-coding RNA, 1012 nt
Filed under: Cyanistes caeruleus (blue tit)
Lineage: Eukaryota; Metazoa; Chordata; Aves; Passeriformes; Paridae
Description: lncRNA (ENSCCEG00000021346.1)
Source: RNAcentral
UGGAGUUUCUGCCUCUGGUGUGUCCUGCACAGAAGCCAAUGUCUCCAAAGCCAAGUACAACAGCAAAAUAUGGUUUUGGCAAUAGCUAGGAUAGAGACAUAAAGAUUACAAUGAGAAAAAGGCUGAAGUUCUCAAACCCUCUUUUACACUGAUUUGAACAGGCACAAGCAGCUCCCAGGCAGCUCAGUCUACCAAUUUGACAAGGAAAAAGUGAUGGAGCAGAGCAGGGACCUGGCAGUGAAACUGGACAAACUCAGAUAGAUGGGGCUCAUUAUGCUGUGCCCACUUUUGGCUCCCCCAAUCUAAGAGCAGUGUGGAGAAUCGACAGGAGGUUCAGCAGAAGGUGCUGGGAUACUCUGGGCCAAGAGCACAGGAUCUAAAUGGAAGGACUGAAGGUGCUGGGCUUGCUUGUCCUGGCAAAACAGAGGCCAGGGACUGGUCUCUGCCUGCACAGCAGUUACAGAGAUGACAGCCAAGUUCAGGGAGUCCAUACUGGGAAAUAAUUGAAUGAAAAUGCCAAGAGGAAAGGGAUGUGCAUACCAGGUCUGUGUGCAGACAAGAACCAGAAUCUCUUGAGCUUGCUACUAGUUUUGACUCUUAAAGACCUCAGAAAAUCUCUGCACUCUCCAGCUCUCUGUUUGUAAAAUGAAAUUCAGCAGUGGGUUACCUCACAAGGCUGCUGUUAGUGCUGGAAUCCAAAGAACGAGCAGUUGGUAAAUGCACUACUGGUAUUACCAAUGUAACAAAAUCAAAGAGAACAGGAUAAGAUUUCAUGGAUGGGAAACACUGCCUUAACAAGAGCCUUUUUCAAAUGUCUUCCCCUCCUGACAAAAGAUGAGGAAAUUACUUGUAAUGCAUUAUAUUGUAUUAUAUGAGGGGAAAAAAAAAUCAAGCUGCCACCUUUAUUUUUUGCCAGGGGGAGAAAACUAGCAUCGAGCUGUACUAGGUACAAACUGUAUAUUGAGAGUAAUCCUGUGUCGAGUUUGUGUCCCAGUGUGGGAAUUUUGUUUGC